UACGUAGGUGGCGAGCGUUAUCCGGAAUUAUUGGGCGUAAAGAGCGCGCAGGCGGUGACUUAAGUCUGAUGUGAAAGCCCACGGCUCAACCGUGGAAGGUCAUUGGAAACUGGUCGACUUGAGUGCAGAAGAGGGAAGUGGAAUUCCAUGUGUAGCGGUGAAAUGCGUAGAGAUAUGGAGGAACACCAGUGGCGAAGGCGGCUUCCUGGUCUGUAACUGACACUGAGGCGCGAAAGCGUGGGGAGCAAACAGGAUUAGAUACCCGGGUA
This 269-nucleotide ribosomal RNA is filed under the name uncultured prokaryote. Its description in RNAcentral is "partial 16S ribosomal RNA". It matches the Rfam family "Bacterial small subunit ribosomal RNA", at positions 524 to 792 of the family's 1533-position model. The record is from RNAcentral.